GGUGGAGCGAUUUGUCUGGUUAAUUCCGAUAACGAACGAGACUCUGGCCUAUUAAAUAGACGAGCUAUUAAUGAAGUAAGCUCGCGCUUCUUAGAGGGACAAGCGGCGUCUAGCCGCAUGAAAUAGAGCAAUAACAGGUCUGUGAUGCCCUUAGAUGUCCGGGGCUGCACGCGCGCUACACUGAAAGAAUCAGUGUGCGUCAAAACCUAGUUCGGAAGAACCGGGUAACCCAAGUAAAUUCUUUCGUGCUUGGGAUAGGGAAUUGCAAUUAUUUCCCUUAAACGAGGAAUUCCCAGUAAAUGCGGGUCAUAAGCUCGCGUUGAAUACGUCCCUGCCCUUUGUAC
This 344-nucleotide ribosomal RNA is filed under the name Nematoda environmental sample. RNAcentral describes it as "SSU rRNA". It matches the Rfam family "Eukaryotic small subunit ribosomal RNA", at positions 1300 to 1665 of the family's 1831-position model. The record is from RNAcentral. Lineage: Eukaryota; Metazoa; Nematoda.